AGGCCUUGGAUGUCAGCUGCCUGUCUGGUUCUAUUGGCUGUUACAGAAGCUUCGACCUCCCUACAAGAGCUAUGGUAGAGGUCUUAACUCCAUAUCAGAGAACCUCUUUCUUGGGUGGAUGAAUUAAAAGAUAACCCCAGAGAUGCAACCAUGACUGUGGCACAUGGACAUUAUGGAUAGUGACGUUAAAGAAAUUAUGAUAGCAGAAAAACAAAACUAUCUUGAUAUGGUUUUCUGGUGUCAAUCAACAGACAUCAGUGUUCAUCAUUUAUGGGGAAAUAGUGUCAAAGCUGAAAUCUAGUCUGCAUCUCAUAAUGGGAUUCUUAUCAAGCCAGCUUGGUUCCAGAAGCCAGGGAGGUAUUUUCAAGGGCAAGAACCAGUGCUAGUGAAAUUCCAUACAGUCUCUCAGCAAGGAUUUCCGAGAAAGGAAUACCAUCUCCAAAUUAUGAUGUGCCAGUAAGCUGCAGUUUGCUGCGGCUUAUCCCCCUGGCAGUAGUCCUGCAAUUUGAAUCCAAAAGAUGCAGCUCUGAACCCAGUAUUUCAAAAGAAUGAGGAUGUUGUCAACUAG
This is a long non-coding RNA of Mya arenaria, 568 nucleotides long. RefSeq lists it as uncharacterized. Lineage: Eukaryota; Metazoa; Mollusca; Bivalvia; Myida; Myidae. The record is from RefSeq and is a predicted model, not a curated record. The transcript has 4 exons.